GCGGAUGUAGUAUAACGGCUAUUAUGAGACCUUGCCAAGGUUUAGAUCCGAGUUCGAUUCUCGGCAUCCGCUCCA
Molecule: transfer RNA, 75 nt
Filed under: bacterium
Lineage: Bacteria
Description: tRNA-Gly
Rfam family: tRNA
About the family: Transfer RNA (tRNA) molecules are approximately 80 nucleotides in length. Their secondary structure includes four short double-helical elements and three loops (D, anti-codon, and T loops). Further hydrogen bonds mediate the characteristic L-shaped molecular structure. tRNAs have two regions of fundamental functional importance: the anti-codon, which is responsible for specific mRNA codon recognition, and the 3' end, to which the tRNAs corresponding amino acid is attached (by aminoacyl-tRNA synthetases). tRNAs cope with the degeneracy of the genetic code in two manners: having more than one tRNA (with a specific anti-codon) for a particular amino acid; and 'wobble' base-pairing, i.e. permitting non-standard base-pairing at the 3rd anti-codon position.
Source: RNAcentral